This 496-nucleotide ribosomal RNA is filed under the name uncultured bacterium. RNAcentral's name for it is "partial 16S ribosomal RNA". It matches the Rfam family "Bacterial small subunit ribosomal RNA", at positions 28 to 523 of the family's 1533-position model. The record is from RNAcentral.
GAUGAACGCUAGCGGCAGGCCUAACACAUGCAAGUCGAGGGGUAGAGGUUGCUUGCAACCUUGAGACCGGCGCACGGGUGCGUAACGCGUAUACAAUCUGCCUUGUACUGCGGGAUAGCCCAGAGAAAUUUGGAUUAAUACCUCAUAGUAUCUUUUCCCGGCAUCGGGAGAUUAUUAAAGUUCCAACGGUACAAGAUGAGCAUGCGUCCCAUUAGCUAGUUGGUAUGGUAACGGCAUACCAAGGCAAUGAUGGGUAGGGGUCCUGAGAGGGAGGUCCCCCACACUGGUACUGAGACGCGGACCAGAGUGCUACGGGGGGCAGCAGUGAGGAAAAUUGGUCAAUGGGCGCAAGCUUGAACCAGCCAUGCCGCGUGCAGGAUGAAGCAUCUAUGGUGUGUAAACUGCUUUUAUACGGGAAGAAACACCGGUUCGUGAACCGGCUUGACGGUACCGUAAGAAUAAGGAUCGGCUAACUCCGUGCCAGCCGCCGCGGUAA